GUAUCAUUUUGGUUAUUAUUUUUAUUAAAAGCAGUUAAUUAAUUAAUUUAAUAAUAGCAGUUAAUUUCAUAUAUCUAUUUAACAAUAAGACAAAUAUAUUUUAAGCAUUGCCAAAGAGAAUAAAAACUGAAACUAUAGAAUAACCGAAGGAAAGUAUUUUACAAACAAGAUUAUACUUUGCGUAGAAUAAGAAAUGAUCACAAGUUUGUUCAUUCGUAAAUAGACUUAACGAUUUCUUGUUUUUGCGAUUACUGCCCGAAAUUUUUCAUAAAUCAUUCCAAAAUUUGCUAGAUAAGUCAUAAUGAUGUUACAUUAAUUAAUGCACAAAAUAUACGUUCUAAAUAAAUUUAAAAACGUUCAUCUAAAUAAAUGUAUUAAUGUUAGUGAAUCGCACUCUUAUUAAGAAGAUAAAAAUUGAAAAAAGGGAAUAAAUGACUAUCAAAGAUUUAAGCGUUAACCAAUUUCGGGACAAGAUAUGACAUCACAAUAUAGCGAUGGAAAUAUAACUUAUAAAUUCUAUCCUUGAGUAUUAUUAUAGAUAUAAUAUCAACAUCGGCAGAUAUCAAUUUCCAAAAUUAAAUCUAAUAAAUAUCGUUCUAUAUUUACUAUAUUUACUGCAAUGUUUAUCUUUUUAUAGAGUAUAAUAUUUUUGUAUGAAGUAUAUAUAAAAAAUACAUUGUACAUAUGGUGGAAGUGUCUGAAUAUUUCGUUGAGAUUCUAGAGUUUUUAGGAUAAAUUUAACAGUUUCUCACAUAUGUUUAAUAUCAAUGGCAGAUUCCUCAGUAGUAAGUGGUACAGUCUUAUUUGUAGGGAUGAUCGAGCGGAUGACUAUUACGGGAGGUUGAAGUAUUGUUUUGUUGCUAGGUAAAAAGAGACAUUCUCUCAUACUCGUUGUUCCGUUCGUCUGCGCUCGCUGGUCCAUAUGAAAGUCCGAUCUACCAGAUUGAUAUAGACUGUACAUGUAUUUAUCCACAGAAGCAAGAUUUUGGUGAUUUUUUAUUCUUUUUAUUGGUUUUUUCUUCUUUCCAUUUGGCGUAAUUCGUCUAUUUAGGUUAUCGAUAAAUUGUAUUGCAAGUUUAUGAGUCACAGUACCUACACUUGAUAAUAUGUAAUUAAUAAUUGAUUUGAGAAUACGAAGAUGAAAAUAGAAAAGAUUAAAAAAUUCACAUUUUUGUUUCAGAUAUAUGAAGUUACAAUUUAAUUUGGAACUAGUUAAACGAAUCAUUAACUAUUAUUAUUUUGAUAGUGUGUAACGUAUACAUAUGUGUAGUGUACAGUCUUUUAUUUUUUAAUGGUGUGUAAUACUUUCUGAAGUAUUGUAGAAGUAUAGAAUUCUAUACUCCAUUGCGAUUGUAGGAUAUCCUAUUCUAUAUUAUGGAAUAUCCUACUCUAUAUUUUAUUUAUAAUUUCAUACGUGCAAGAGUAUGUAUUUUUAAUUCAAAGCAGCACUAUACCGAAUCGGUAAAGUCGCAUGCGAUACGAAAAUGGUAUGGGUGAUCAGAUGAUCUCCAAAACGUGGAGCUUGAGAAAGCAUUGAAUAUCAUGUCUAUUUCUGUAUCUCGUUUAUGGUAAUGGUUUAAAUUGAAACUAAAUUUUCCUGUGAAAUUAAAAAUAAGUUAUCUGUGAUAUUUACUGUGUUGGCUGUAGCAAAUCGCAGAGGGCGUAGGAAAUACUCAAAUUUUUUCCAAACUGGUAUUUCAGAACCUGGGAUACAAAGUCCCACUUAAUGUCACGUCUAUUCUGUCCUUAAUUAAUGAUAUCAACACACCGACAAGGUAGUCAAUGAUGUCACAAUGUCACAUCCAAUGGUUACGUCCAUCGAUCAUGUCUAUCAGUCACAUCUACAGAAGUCAAUGGUCACGUCUACUCUAUAUAUAUCUCAUCUGUGGUAUAAUCGUAGCCGAAUAUAGGAAAUAUAGGAAAUCUUAUAGAAUUUUAUUCCACAGGAAUUAAUCAUAGAUAGUUUAAAUUCUGAGUAUAGAUGGCAUCAUAAUAUUAUUUUCUACUGUAUCGGCAACCGUAGAAACGAUACAAAGCUUUGCUGAGUAUAAUCAUUGACUAACGUAUCUCGUCUGUCGUACGAUAAUUUUAUUUCAUAUCAAAUGUGAUUCAUUUACACGAAUAUUAUAAAAACUUUAAAACGUAAAAGGCGCAAAGCAUUACGAAGGCAUUGUAAUUGAAAGAAGAAUGUAAUAGUUACGAGUAUCAAAGUUCAAAGAUUUUAGAGUAGUUUAUAACUUUUAAACGAGUAGUUGACAUUUUCGACGAUACUUCGUAAGAAUAGAAUUUGUCGUUAGCUGGAUUUCUGCGGAUACCAUUUAAGAAAUCAAUCUCUGUGAUGAUUAGGAAUACAAGGGUAGUGAGAGAAACAGUGAGAGAAACACGAUACUACGUGAAAGUGCUUUAUUCCUUUCGGAGAUCGUUCAUCGCAGACAUCGGCGUCGGGAAUGCCGCUCUCAUUUUUCUUUUUUUCAUAUAUGUGUACAUAUAUGUAUACAUAUACAUACACACAUGUACGAAUGCAUAUGUGUACAUAUAUAUUAUAUCUUAUGUACGUACGUAUGUAUGCAUAUAUACAUACAUAUAUACUCUAAUAAGCGAUCCUAAUUAUCGAGUAAAUUACCGUCUGAUAUUAAAAAAUACGCAUGUAUAUGUACAUGUACAAUUACAACACACGCCAGGACGGCAAGAAUCCUGGUCCAGUGAGAUCUUAAUGAUGAUUUUAAAACGAAGGUUGAAUGUACAGUAUACACAUUUACACUUAUCGUUUCAGCAACAACAAUUUUAUUGUACGUAGAUUGCAAAAAUUAAAUAAAUAAUGACAGUGGUACAUUGCGUAUUGGACGGAAAGGCCCAAAACACUGCGCAAAGGUGUGAGAGGAAAUUAUAGGUUUAAAUUCGGUCGAGGUGCGAUUGCUUCUUCAUCUCUCUCUUGUUUUCUUUCUUCUCUCUCGUCUUAUCAUUUUUCACACACAUUCUGUUUCUCAUUCAUUUCCUUUCUGUAUUCAUUUUUUCCUCAUCUUUGCUUCUGAUCGCACUAAUGCACUUUAUCUUUCCUCAUAUUUAUUUUCACGCUCUCUUCUUCAUAUAUUACCAAUUUUAUCACUCUCUCUCUCUCUCUCUCUCUCUCAUUCGCCCCGCCUUUCACUCUUUCUGUUUCGUUCACUCUCUCUCUCUCUCUCUCUCUGUUGCUUUCUCUCACUUUCUCUCUCUCUCUCUCUCUCUCUCUCUCUCUCUUCCUCUUUCGUUCGUUCGUUCGUUUUCUCAAGUAAAUGCGGUCCACAUUGCGAAAAACAGAAACGGAGAGAGUCAAGUCUCGAAUAUGAGAAUAUUCAAUGAAAAAGGUCGGAAACAGAUUUUUGCGAUUUAUAAAAAAUCUAUUUUGAGGCAUGCCCGGUAAUACCAGACAAAUAGCGUCGUUAUCCGUUUCUCUGUUCUCCUUUAAACACCAUCCGUUAAUUUUCAUUUGAAAUGCUCCUACGUAGUAAUAAUGGUUUGGUUUUAUCUUUUUCAUCUUGCUCUUUUCUUUAUAUUACAAUAAUUAACAUCGUCACAUACAGACUUAUACACUAACGAUAUGACUACAGCUCCAAACCAGCAGAGCGUUCAUCGAUGGAGAAGUGAGAAUUAAUUUAUUUACGCGUCUUUCUUUCUUUCUUUCGUUUUCCUCUCGCUAGCAUUCGCUCCCACUUUCGUCCCUUCUCCGACUUUUCUUCCUUUUUAUUUCCGGAGGGAAGGUUUCCUCUCUUUCGUUCGUUUCCGAUUGAUAAAGUCGAUAUGCCAAUUUAUUUAUAAAACGUUACAAAAUUAUUCGUGAGCGCAGCCGUGUGACCUUUCGAUUCUACAUAUACGAAAGUCUCGCGUUCCUAUAAAUAUAUUCAUAAUCGCUGUUGCCUUCCUGCUGCGCAACGGACCAAGAUUUUUCUAUCGUAAACACCUCUCGUACCUCUGUCGAGCCUCCUAUGAUCUUUCCAACGCUCUCUCCAACUUCAUCGCUCUCGCACAUUCUCUCCACCUUUCUCUCUUCGUUCAUCCCUCUGCCUUUGUUCGCGAUUUUAACGUUACGAACGCCAGUCAACCCCUCAUGCGAAAAGAAACGCUCCGUACGCGUACAUCCGUUCAAUUUUCUUUGUCUCACUUUGUGCAUCGCGUUUCCACGACCGGCCAACCCAACGAACCUAUUCAGCGAUAUCAACGCGUAUCGAGUAAGGCAUAGGAAAGUUCGUCGGUGUUUUAGCGGAUCUUCACAAUAUAGUGAAUUUCCUUAAUUUUAAAUCGCAGCAACAAAUGAUCGCAGAUUUUUCUGCAGACUACAAUUUCAAGAUCAAAUAAAUAAGAAACGUUAUGCAUGAAAUUAGAUUUAGUUGAAGAUCGAUGUAACGCAAUGGUAUACGCGCGAUUCGAACAGAAAUCGAAAUCAAACGAUUCCGUAACGAUUUAAAGUUUAAUCGAAUUUCCGAUGAAUUAAGUUUUACGAUCUUUUAUUUUAUUUUUACAUUUUACGAUCCGCUAAACUCUUGGCGCCGAUCGCGUGAAAAAUUGAACGGAUAAAGGACGUUGUCGCGUGUUACAAUUUUUCUCAAGGAAUGUUUCGAUGAUUUCGAAGAUAAUGCAUGCCAAUAGAAAAGUAGUUAGGGGAUCUCGUUGACGGGCGCGUUAUGGCUAGUAUACAUUAUAUACGUAAUAAAAUAUUUCUUGUCCGCUCUUUUCUUCAUGGAAAUUAGUUCGUUCGCUCGCUAUCCUCCCUCCCCCCUCCCUAUUCUCCUUUUUUUUUCUAUCCUUCCAUUAUCGUAAAUCGGCGCGAUUUUUGCAUCUCUUGUGUGUACGCGAAUUGCCGACUCGAUUGUACGAAGGCAUCGUGUAGGGAACUAUUGAGAUGUAUAAUAUAAUUAUGCGUACGUCUAUAUACGUAGUUUCAAUGAUGUUUUUUUUCCUUUGCAUUCUUUCAUUCUGCUUUCAUCUUAACGAACGAUUAACCGAUCGAUCGAUAUUCGAGUAACGUUUAAGUACAUCGGUUGACACAGGUGGAGCAUUCUCGUUUGUAUUUGCCUUCCUCUUUUAGUUUCAUUUUUACGUAUCGUCUCUCUCUCUCUCUCUCUCUCUUUCUCUUCUCGGUUCAUCUUCUUCUUUUCUUUUUUUUUUUUGCUUUUUUACUUUUCGUUUAAACACUAGAUUGCGGGGAUUCCGGCACAAACAAGGAAUGUCGUAGUACAUUAUAUCAACAUUUAAUAAAAUAUCUGAAACAUUAACAAAUAGACUAUAUGAGUACUACAUAUCUGCCCUUAAUAAUGUUUUAUAGCUAAUCGAUAAGUAGUAAUCAUUUUUUUCUCUCCUUCAUAUUGUUUCCGCUUUUUUUUUCCCUUUUCGACUGGUGAAUUUUAAUCGACAAAUAGAUAGUAAAUUCUGUUUAUCAUUGAAUGCCUAUUUCUCUUCUAUCUUCCCUCCUGUCGUUUCCUCCUACUACCGUAACGCCGUUUCCCUUCCUAUCUGGCGCGAGCUUCUAAAAAUAUUACGCGCGAUCACCGCCUUCUCCUUCCUCUUCUCUCGUUUCGAGCACCCGAUAUAAUUAAUCUUCGCUUACGAGUCACACUCGCAGGUAUCUCGAUCGUUUCUCAAAGACUUUCCUCGCGUCUGCUUAUCUCGCCUUUACCGCGCCUUUAUCUCCUCUUCGCGGUUCGCGUCGUCUAUUACCUUCUCCCUCCCCACGGCCCAUUUCUUCCACGCUUUAUCGAGAGAAACCAAUUAUUGUGAUUUUUACUUUCAGUGACAAACGGGCUUCCAUUUACUACGGUAGAAACUUGUAUAUGCAACGACGAUAGGGCUGGCUAGUGGACGCGAACACGCUGCAAGACAAAUAGCGUCGCAUCGAAAGUACGUCGCGUUUAGAAGAUUCGCCGAUAACGCGAAGCUCGUGUCACGAGAUCCAAGCGUUUCGUUUGCAUUCCAACGAAAAUAUUAUCGCCAGAUUUCCAACGAUACAGGCAAUUUCGCGAAUGAAAAUUAAAAUUGCUUUGUAGAAAAGUAACCGAACAUCACGCUCUUUUAGCUUCGUAAUCGCGCGCAGCAGUCAGCCACGGGGGAAAUAAGUUUCCAUUUCCACCUAUGUACUCCGUAAUCUCUAUAUUUGUAUAUAUAUAUAUAUAUAUACAUAUACAUAUACAUAUAUAUAUAUAUAUAUAUAUAUAUUUAUAUACUUAUUUUUUUAUUCAAAAUGUUAUAUCUCGUUUAGAGAAGGCGACGCGCGUCGCCUUAUUUAUUUACUUUGCUUUUUUUUUUUUUUUAAUGCCUACAAAUGCAUCGUUUAUAUCUUUUCCGGCAUCAUGGACAUACAACGUAAAUAGCCUAGAUCAUCGUACAAAUAAGUUGAUCGAUAUUAAUCGUUGCCCUGAGUGCCUUGGUACCCGGCUUGCGAACGGAACUCGGUUUCCGUGUCUCGUUAAGCACGUUCGAACCUCAAACCAUUCCCGCUAUCCUGUUCGUUCUCGCGUAAACGCGCCUCCCGGUUCCUCGCGCUCCUGUCGUCCACCGUUUCCAUUAUGCCAUUGUUUUCCACUUUAGAAGCAGCUAAAGGAAAUAUUGUUAAGCGUCGCAACGCGUCGAUCGGCCGCCGAUCUCGCGCCAUCCGCCGCUCUAUCGAACAAGCGUGUGGCAUUUCGUUGGUUCGCGGCGAUUAAUCGACGGCAAUCAAUUCGAAAUCCGAUCGUCGAGCUGAACCACGCCUGUGUCUCGUUCUUUCCUUCCUCCUUCCGUUCCCUUGCCUCUUCCCUUCUUCCCUUUCUUUCUCUCUUUCUUCCCACACGCGAAAAAGUGAACGCGAAUUAGUGUAUUUGUAAACUGUACAAAGAGGAGGAUGCGUCGUGCAAGCGCAUCGUCGAUUGGCGAUUUGAAUGAACGAGCGGGAUGCGGUUCGGCUGGACGCUCGAGCGCGUUCGCGGAGAAACUGUCAACUCGCGAGUAAAAAGUGGCAGUCGAAUCAGACAGCUCGUUGAAGCGAAUUCCGGUGCGAGAAUGAUGCGAGUGUGAGGCGCGUGGGUGUGCGUGGGCGCGCGGGUCGCGCGCUGGACAAAAAUUCGGAUUAGAUGCAGGGGAAAGCGAAGAGGUGGUGUUUUGAGUUCGCGUUCGCGGCCGACGAAAUGUCGCCAAGCUUUCAACAACACGUUUGUUUUUCAUUCGGUAUGUACUCGGUGUGUCGACGCGAGCCACGAGGUUCGUGCGGAGAUCGGCCGACGACCGCGGUCUCUGCUGUGCUAUCGUAUUUUGACCCUUUCGCAGUUGCAAUUGCGCGACACCUUACAAAACGCUUGAAUGUAUAGAAAUAGUAGAUUAGAUUUACAAAACUCUCGUCGUCGGCGGAGGACGAUUAGGGGAAAAAAAAAAGAAAGAAAAAAAAGAGACACCGUUUUGCUGUCGAGGCUUGCGGUAUGUUCGUUAGAAAAAUUAGCCAUUCUUUCUUUCGUUUCCUCCUCGUUAACGAUACAGUACAAUUUACGUUAUAGAAUCACUUUGCUCGGGCGAAAAAUAGAUUAUUAUGUGUUUCUUUCUCUUCGUUUUUUUUUUUUUUUUUUUUUUUGGCUUUUCUCUUUUGUCUUUUUUUAUCGUUCUAUACCCUUUUCGCGUAUGUAUACGAGUUACUUUUAUAUGCGUUUGUGUUUCGUACGAGUACAUGUGUGUAUAUUAUAUCCUGUGUGAACGUGUGCGUGUGUACGUGUUCGCGCGUGUAUGCCGACUGUGUACUGAGACUUUACGGUAGUAUUUACGCGUUUAAUCGACUUUUUUUGUUUUUUUUUUUUUUAAAUAUCUUCCUUAUGUUGUCUGUUAUUAUCGUGUCCCACUCUGUAAGGCGAUCGGUUUAGCUUUUCUUAGCGCUUAUAAACGUAGUAUUUUUUUUCUUUUUCUUUUUUGUUUUAAUGCAGGCCAGGUGGCUCUUAGCGUAACCCGGGGCAACUCGGCAGGAUGUUUAUCUGAACUAGUACCGUUAAGAGUAUAGUAUUUUGUUAUUUAUACAUCUUUUUCUUUGCUCGUUUAAAUAUAUCCUGUAGUAAUCCUUGUUUUCAUUUGUUAAAAUGCGUACAAACGGAGAUACGGAAUUAUAAUAUGUAUAACGUACCGAGGGAGAUGUAGCGUUCAUUACUUAUCGAUUAUUAUUAUUUUUAUUAUUAUUAUUAGUAUUGUUAUUAUUACUUGUUAUUUAAUUACACAUUAAUUAUUACUAUUGUUAGUAUUAGCGUUAUUAUUACAUAUUAGUACUAAUGUUGUUGUUGUUGUUGUUGUUGUUAUUAUUAUUAUUUCCCAUUACUUCUUAUUUAUUGUUGUUGUUGUUAUUAUUAUUAUUAUUAUUAUUCAUUAUUGUUAAUCAUGGUUUCAUCUUUGCUGAAUAACACUCUCUGCGCGUGUAGAUAUAUUUUUAUUCGGCUUUCGUGUCUAGUAUUUUACGGUUUUACUUAUGAAGUCAUUAUCAUUAUUAUUAUUAUUAUUAUUAUUAUUAUUAUUAUUAUUAUUAUUUCUAUUAUUAUUAAUAUUGUUAUUCAUUAUUUAGUUUAUUUUCCUUGCGUCAGAAAAAUUGUCGAGAGUGAUUAUGCAAAGCCAAUACGGUAAUUACAUCAUUUUUUUUUGUUUUCUCUCCACCCCUUUGAAUUACUUCGGUUGAAGCUUCACACAGCCAAAAAAUGAAAAGCACUUAAAACAGUGCUCCACACUAUAUAAAUGAGUUCUCGAUUAAUUAAUUAAUUGAGUAAUUAAUUAAUUAAUAAAACAAAUCCCGAUCAACUAGAGUGGCAGAGGCAGCCGCCACCGCAUUGCCGCCCUCGUUUCCAAUGGACAUUUCUUCUCUUCUCUUUCCCUUCUUUCUUUCUCGUCCGUUCAGCUUUCCUGGUUUCUCGCGUGGCCUACUAUAAUAUAGCUUAAUCAAAGUAUCGUUCGUGCCCACUGUGUGUAUACAUGUUUCGUGUGUGUCUGUGUAUGUAUGUAUGUGUUCCUGUUUGUUCGUGUUGCUAUUGGUGUCUGGUUCUUCGUCCGUUUGUCUCUCCACGUAUUUACGUAUGCGCUCGUAAACGUACGUAGCAACGUUACUUUAUCACUUUCUCGUUAAAAACCGAUUUCUCAGUUGCUCGUAUGUAGUCGCGAGCGAGAUUUCUCCUCCAAUUAGUUCUUCGGCCUUCGUUCCCAUCUCCGUCCAAGUUACGUUUUAGAUAUACGUGCACAUAAUUCCUAUUUGCUUGUUCCUUCCUCUCAUUCUACACGGAUAGACGUAUAUCGCGCGUGUAACGCAGAAACGAAUUGCUAUCCGGCGUUUUCGUUGGAGCAAUUCAGCGCACGAUCCGGCUGAAGUCGAUGGAACUGUCGCUGACAACGAACGUUAAUCUUUCAGUUUCUAAAAUUAUCACGGCGUAUCGGAUAGUUGCCUCGUUUAGCGCCAAUUGUAAUAUCUAACUAUACCACUGGAAAGCGUGAUUCGCUCGAUCUACGAGUGGUCUUCUUUCUAUAUUCUUCUUCCUCUUUAAACUAUAAUACGCGCCAUAUGCCAUGCGACCAUCACUCGACCAUCCCCUGUUUUCCUUCAAAUUUCCCUGCCGCGAGCUACGCUCCUUUUUACAAACCGUCAAACUCUUUUAAACUUAUCGCCGAUUAUUCGCGUAACCGUGAGCAAUUUUAUCAAGGAAUAUGAAAUGGAAAAGCGAUGGAGAUUUGUCCGUGACAAAUGCAGCGUAACAGGGGAUGCUCGACGAACCUGUCAUCGCUAAUUAUUCGUACAACUGUUUCGUUAAGUUAGUAAGCUCUAGCCCAGGCUGAUCGCGAAACCACGGCUUACUCGGCGUUCUUGCUGCGAAAAGAGAACGUGACGGUGUGCAUAUCUAUCGUUUCUCGCGUUAAGUAGCGUUAAGUUUAAUAAGAAAUUGUUCGUUCUCUACGGCACGACGCGGCGACAGCGGAAUAUAGGUAACUAGCUUCAUAGCGGACUAGCUCUUUCUCUCUCUCUCUCUCUUUCUCUAGAUUAAUUUUCAGUUAGUUACAUUGGAAUGCAUGCUGGACUCUUUUGUCUCGAUCGUUUCAGUCACCCGUCCUCCUUGUUUCACGCUUCCUUUCUCACAACUCACGCUCCUCCUCACUUUCAUCUCACCCUUUCUGAGUCUCUCUCUCUCUCUCUCUCUCAGUCAUUCGUUCUCAGUCUCGCUCUGCCUUUUUACAUUUUUCCUAGCACCAGCAGCCGGUUGCCAAAGCCGGACGAUGCGAAGAGGAACGGUUGGACGAGCGACGAUCAGCGAUCGAUCCGACUAACAGCGAUAUGCAAGAUUUGCCGGAGUGGAGCCAUGUGAAUUUGGCAGAGCGACAAGUUCAACAGUUGGCAUCCCUUUGCAAGCACGCAGGUUCUAGCACGAAGGAACAUUAUUUUUUCUUGUUUUUUCUUUUUGCUGCUGUUUCUUUUUUUGUUGUUUUUUUUUCGCUCGUUCGUUUCGUUCGCAUUUGCCGGCUAGCGAUACCAUCCAUUUAUUCUACGCGAGGAAAUAUACAUGGAUUGUUGUACAAAAUGAACAGCAUUCUCGCUAACGACUUUUACGCUUACGCCGAGAAGGUAAAAGAAGGCGAGGUGUCGGCGGCCACCUGCACUCGACAUACCGUUCUCGCUGAAUCGCUACGUUGCAUCGCCACUCUUGUGCAAUACUAAAUGGAACGCAGUGUAAAUAUCGUAGGAUCUUAAUUAACACGGAUUUGAUUAGCUUCGUUUCUUCUUCUGUUCUGUUUAUUGUUGUUAAACGUGGAUUGAUUGGUUCGAUCGGUCUUUCGGCUCUCAAAUUAGUUACUAGACGCAACGGAAUGCAAUGGAAGUUCGAAAGAUUGUUUGUUUGUUUGUUUGUUCGACUUGUGGCAGGUGGGACGCUUGAUGUCGGAGAUCGAUCAAUUUUCCAUAUCGACCACGUGCCGAAGUGGUUGAUCAUACCGAGAGAGAAUCGACUCGUUUGCUAGACGCGGUUAUCUCGCUUCAAGAGAAACGCAGCCUCGAGCGUAUUCAAGCAAAAAUGGAGAAAGAGUGUUGGUUAAAAAGCUGAAAAUUCUUAAGAAAACGUACAAACGAUCGUAGAAAGGUUUGUUUUGGCCCGCGAUCUCCGACGACGAAACCCCGAUCGAGGUGAAAGCUCAUCCUCCUCUUCGUCAAGUUUUAGUUUUACGGACGACAAAAGUCUGCCGAUGGCAACCGAACGGAAUAACAACGCAUUGGCUUCUCGAACUCGUGUAUUUGUAAAAGUAUGUAUGUGUGCGCGUGUGUAUAUGUGUUGGCAUAUCACCGAUCCAGUCUAACAUACAAAACCAGCCUCUUUCGCAUAUUGAUCUAAAAAGGAAUCGGGAAUUUCAUAACGAUUACUCGAUAAUUCCACUUGUAACGAUACCAUACCUUGAUACCGUACCAACUACCUAGCUACCUAUCUAUGCUCUAUUUAUACCUCUAACAGCUAUGACCGUCUAACAGAGUAGUUUCUCAUCUCGUUAACUAAAUAUCAUUUCGCCAUAUUCAUCUUUCUCUUCACGUCGAUAGUAACAGUAGUAGUUGUAGUCGUAUUUAGUGCUAGUAUCAGUAGUAAUAGUAAUAGUAACAGCGUACAGUAUUGGUAGUCGUAGCAGUAGUAGUAGUAGUAGUAGUAGUAUCAGCAGUUGCAGCAAUAAUAGUAGUAAUAAUAAUAACAGACGUAGAUAAUAAUAACAACGGAAAUAAUGGCCACACUACUGUUGAUAGUUAGCAAUAAUAUGCAACAGUAGUAGUGUAACGAUGACGGUAGUAAUAGUAGUAGCAGCAGCAGCAGUAGUAGUAGUAGUCGUAGUAAUAGUAAUAGUAGUAGUAGUAAUAGUGGUAGUGGUAGUAGUAGUGGUAGUGGUAGUAGUAGUACUAGUAGUAGUAGUAGUGGUAGUAGUAGUAGUAGUAGUAGGAGUAGUAGUAGGAGUAGUGGUAGUAGUAGUAGUAGCAACAGCAGCAGUAGUAGUAGUAAUAGCAAUAGUAAUAGUAGUAGUAAUAGUAAUAGUAAGAGUAAUAAUAGUAGUUACACUAGCAGCAGCAGUAGUAGUGGUAAUGUUGGUAGUAACAGUAGUAGUAGUAGUAUCAGCAGUAGGAAAUGGAAGUGCUAACAGUACCAAUAGCGGUAGUUGUCGUAAUAGUAAUAGUAGCAGUAGCAGUAGUAGUACUAGUAGUAGUAAUAGCGGUAGUAGUAGUAGUAGUAGUAGUAGUAGUAGUAGUAGUAGUAGUAGUAGUUGUAGCAGUAGUAGUAGUAGUAUAGUAGUAGUAGUAGUAGUAGUAGUAGUAGUAGUAGUAGUAGUAGUAUAGUAGUAGGAGUAGUAGUAGUGGUGGUGGUAGUAGUAGUAGUAGUAGUAGUAGUAGUAGUAGUAGUA
This is a long non-coding RNA of Bombus huntii, 12375 nucleotides long. RefSeq lists it as uncharacterized. The transcript is spliced from 2 exons. The record is from RefSeq and is a predicted model, not a curated record. NCBI's taxonomy places the organism in Eukaryota, Metazoa, Arthropoda, Insecta, Hymenoptera, Apidae.